RNAcentral lists this unclassified non-coding RNA (230 nucleotides) under plant metagenome. RNAcentral's name for it is "partial contains small subunit ribosomal RNA, internal transcribed spacer 1, and 5.8S ribosomal RNA". The record is from RNAcentral.
UCUCCGUAGGUGAACCUGCGGAGGGAUCAUUACAGAGUUCAUGCCCUUACGGGUAGAUCUCCCACCCUGUGUUAUUAUUACCUUUGUUGCUUUGGCGGGCCGUCCGGCUUCGGCCAAGCUACCGGCUCCGGCUGGUAAGCGCCCGCCAGAGGACCUAAAACCCUGAAUGUUAGUGUCGUCUGAGUACUAUAUAAUAGUUAAAACUUUCAACAACGGAUCUCUUGGUUCUG